CGAACGCUGGCGGCGUGCUUUAUACAUGCAAGUCGAACGAUGGAGUUCCUUCGGGAAUGGAUUAGUGGCGAACGGGUGAGGAACACGUGAGAAACCUGCCUUUCAUUCUGGGAUAACACCGGGAAACCGGUGCUAAUACCGGAUACUCCGUCUUGGCGGCAUCGCCGAGCCGGGAAAAAAUUUUGAUGAAAGAUGGUCCCGCGGCCUAUCAGCUAGUUGGCGAGGUAAAGGCUCACCAAGGCGACGACGGGUAGCCGGCCUGAGAGGGCGACCGGCCACACUGGGACUGAGACACGGCCCAGACUCCUACGGGAGGCAGCAGUAGGGAAUAUUGGGCAAUGGGCGCAAGCCUGACCCGGGCGACGCCGCGUGAGGGAUGAAGGUCUUCGGAUUGUAAACCUCUUUCAGUAGGGAAGAAGCGAAAGUGACGGUACCUAAAGAAGAAGCACCGGCUAACUAUGUGCCAGCAACCGCGGUAAUCUGAUGGCGCGAGG
Molecule: ribosomal RNA, 494 nt
Filed under: uncultured bacterium
Lineage: Bacteria
Description: bacterial SSU rRNA
Rfam family: Bacterial small subunit ribosomal RNA
Source: RNAcentral